This 503-nucleotide ribosomal RNA is filed under the name uncultured bacterium. Its description in RNAcentral is "partial 16S ribosomal RNA". It matches the Rfam family "Bacterial small subunit ribosomal RNA", at positions 30 to 523 of the family's 1533-position model. The record is from RNAcentral.
AUUGAACGCUGGCGGCAGGCUUAACACAUGCAAGUCGAGCGGGGUGAUGGUGCUUGCACUAUCACUUAGCGUCGGACGGGUGAGUAAUGCUUAGGAAUCUGCCUAUUAGUGGGGGACAACAUCUAGAAAGGGAUGCUAAUACCGCAUACGUCCGACGGGAGAAAGCAGGGGAUCACUUGUGCCCUUGCGCUAAUAGAUGAGCCUAAGUCGGAUUAGCUAGUUGGUGGGGUAAAGGCCUACCAAGGCGACGAUCUGUAGCGGGUCUGAGAGGAUGAUCCGCCACACUGGGACUGAGACACGGCCCAGACUCCUACGGGAGGCAGCAGUGGGGAAUAUUGGACAAUGGGGGGAACCCUGAUCCAGCCAUGCCGCGUGUGUGAAGAAGGCCUUAUGGUUGUAAAGCACUUUAAGCGAGGAGGAGGCUCUUUUGGUUAAUACCCAAGAUGAGUGGACGUUACUCGCAGAAUAAGCACCGGCUAACUCUGUGCCAGCCGCCGCGGUAA